Long non-coding RNA from Gigantopelta aegis, 1002 nucleotides. RefSeq lists it as uncharacterized. The record is from RefSeq and is a predicted model, not a curated record. Lineage: Eukaryota; Metazoa; Mollusca; Gastropoda; Neomphalida; Peltospiridae. The transcript has 3 exons.
AAAGGUGACCGGAGUUGACUCAUGAUUGCCAUGGAGGAUGUUGUUUUACAGACGGGUGUGCAGCUAGAGAAUAAAUUAGUGAUCAUAUGAGGCAAUUUGAAAGCAAUUUCAACAGGUCAGUAAAUUGGUUAAGAAGGUUGAAUCGGCAAAAGAAAUAUCGACAAGUAUAGGAUAAAUGAGAGGAUAAUAAAGCGGCACUUUAAAGGAGUCAGCUCGCGUGCUUGGCAAAUUGGACACGAACGGAACUGUUUUCUGUGCAAUUACAGAGAAACCCAAGAACGUUUUUCCACCACGUACACGGCUGGUCAACUGACUUGACCGAAUUAGAGCUUUGUUUUGGUGCUGAUUUUAUAAAGCAGCGUGUACGCAAACAUAUUAUUAAUAUUUGCGAUCUUUCAGUAAUAUUUGCUUGGAGACAGAUCCAGCUAAGCAAUUUCAUUUCUGAUCAAUGGAAACUAAUCUCCAGUUUUAGUCGCAGAAGAAUCAAACACGUGUUUGCAGCGAUUGUUUCGUUUGACCUUUUUUCAGGACCGUACCUAGCGGGUUGCAAUGUUGGGGUUGCAUCCCCAGAAAGAUAAGAAAACAGGUUUUUAAAACUUGUUUUAGUUACAAAGUGCCUGUUUGUGAAUCUGAAGAACAUCCUGUAUUUCUGUGCUUUGAUUGUUUUAAUCCUGCCACCCUCCCCCUUUAUGUUAGACUAGGUACGGUCCUAUCUUUGUUGGAAUAUGACUAGAUCGAAAUGGAGUACAUGAAUUAUUCAACAGAUUAGAGAAACAUUUUACUACUGAAUUCUGUGGCAAUAUAGCUAUCUUCAAAAGAACACAAGAUAAAGAGUAUAUCUCAGACAUAAUUUAGCAUCGGGCUAUCACAUAACACAAAUAGCUAUAAAGGUGAACGCAGUGCAUCUGUCAUUUUAUAAAGUUCAUGUCAUAAACCACUUUAAACAAAACGUUGGGUUUUUUUUUUUCUUGUUGUUUUUUUUGGGGGGGUUAUUGUGUGUGU